GCACAUUUGGUGGAAUUGGUAGACACAACAGACUUAAAAUCUGUUACCAUAAAAGGUGUGUUGGUUCAAAUCCAAUAAUGUGUA
Molecule: transfer RNA, 84 nt
Filed under: Vischeria punctata
Lineage: Eukaryota; Eustigmatophyceae; Eustigmatales; Chlorobotryaceae
Also listed under: 1 other name
Description: tRNA-Leu
Rfam family: tRNA
About the family: Transfer RNA (tRNA) molecules are approximately 80 nucleotides in length. Their secondary structure includes four short double-helical elements and three loops (D, anti-codon, and T loops).
Source: RNAcentral